GACAGAGGGUGCAAACGUUGUUCGGAAUUACUGGGCGUAAAGCGUGUGUAGGUGGCUGCGUAAGUCGGAUGUGAAAGCCCUGGGCUCAACUCAGGAAGUGCACUCGAUACUGCGUAGCUCGAGUACCGGAGAGGUUGGUGGAAUUCUCGGUGUAGAGGUGAAAUUCGUAGAUAUCGAGAGGAACACCUGUGGCGAAGGCGGCCAACUGGACGAGUACUGACACUGAGACACGAAAGCGUGGGGAGCAAACAGG
This 253-nucleotide ribosomal RNA is filed under the name uncultured bacterium. Its description in RNAcentral is "partial 16S ribosomal RNA". It matches the Rfam family "Bacterial small subunit ribosomal RNA", at positions 524 to 776 of the family's 1533-position model. The record is from RNAcentral. RNAcentral also lists the same sequence under 2 other names.